RNAcentral lists this ribosomal RNA (274 nucleotides) under uncultured bacterium. Its description in RNAcentral is "partial 16S ribosomal RNA". It matches the Rfam family "Bacterial small subunit ribosomal RNA", at positions 523 to 796 of the family's 1533-position model. The record is from RNAcentral.
AUACGGAGGGCGCAAGCGUUACUGGGAAUCACUGGGCGUAAAGCGCGCGCAGGCGGUCUUUUAAGUUGGAUGUGAAAGCCUACGGCUCAACCGUAGAACUGCAUCCAAAACUAUUAGACUAGAGUGUGGGAGAGGAAGAUGGAAUUAGUUGUGUAGGGGUAAAAUCCGUAGAGAUAACUAGGAAUACCAAAAGCGAAGGCAAUCUUCUGGAACACUACUGACGCUGAGGCGCGAAAGCGUGGGGAGCAAACGGGAUUAGAUACCCUUGUAGUCC